GAGCAACAAGCAACAUAUCUCAUAUGAAUAAAGCAAUAAUUCUAUAAAGGUGAUGGAUUGACACAAAGUUCACUCUAAAGUAUGAAUAAUAAAUACAAGUGUAAAUACCUGCAUGAUAUUCAUCUAAAAAAUUAGUCGUUCAAUGACAAUUAUACAAAAAUAAAAAUAUAUGCAUAGAAAUUCCAAUGAUCUACACAUGGAACAUAAAUAUUGCAGUUGUUUUGGAUAUAAACAGGUAAAAACCAUUAAGCCUCCCAAAACGGAGAAGCAAAAUGUUCUAGUAACAUAAAAAACAAUGAUUCUAAGUAUAUAUGAGUGUUGUAAAAUAAAUAAAUUCAGUAUUCUAAACAUGCACAUUAGAGAGAGAGAGAGAGAGA
RNAcentral lists this unclassified non-coding RNA (377 nucleotides) under Hevea brasiliensis (rubber tree). Lineage: Eukaryota; Viridiplantae; Streptophyta; Magnoliopsida; Malpighiales; Euphorbiaceae. The record is from RNAcentral.